UACAUUUGCUCAUCCAAAUAGAAGUAUACACAAUGUUGGAGAAUCCAUAAUCAUUCAUUAUAAAUAUCAUCAUCUAUAAGUCUAAAGUCAAGCAUACCUAUUAACCAUACAUCACAAUGUUUCAUCUAUACCAUAUGUUAAGGUGAUAAUCAUCACCAAACACAUCAAAAUGUAAAUUAAAAAUUCCAAAAUAUCUGAUCUUGCUAUUCCUCCAAACAACCAUCAUGUAGACAAAAAUAUUCUUAUACCAAAAAUUGGAUUUUGCUUGUAGACAACUCCACCAUGAUCAUCUGAACAAAAGCUAUCCAUGUACCAAAAACUAGAUUUCACAUGCUCAUAACUCCACCAUAUAUCGAGUAUUUGUAC
Non-coding RNA from Phoenix dactylifera (date palm), 366 nucleotides. The record is from RefSeq and is a predicted model, not a curated record. NCBI's taxonomy places the organism in Eukaryota, Viridiplantae, Streptophyta, Magnoliopsida, Arecales, Arecaceae.